CAGCCGCCGCGGUAAUACGUAGGUGGCAAGCGUUGUCCGGAAUUACUGGGUGUAAAGGGCGUGUAGGCGGGGAUGCAAGUCAGGUGUGAAAAACCAUGGCUCAACUGUGGUCUUGCAUCUGAAACUGUAUUUCUUGAGUACUGGAGAGGGAAGUGGAAUUCCUAGUGUAGCGGUGAAAUGCGUAGAGAUUAGGAGGAACACCAGUGGCGAAGGCGGCUUCCUGGCCAGAGACUGACGCUGAGGCGCGAAAGCGUGGGGAGCAAACAGGAUUAGAUACCCUGGUAGUCCACGCCGUAAACGAUGGAUACUAGGUGUAGGUGGUAACAAGCCAUCUGUGCCGGAGCAAACGCAAUAAGUAUCCCACCUGGGGAGUACGGCCGCAAGGCUGAAACUCAAAGGAAUUGACGGGGGCCCGCACAAGCAGUGGAGUAUGUGGUUUAAUUCGAAGCAACGCGAAGAACCUUACCAGGGCUUGACAUCCCUCGAAUUACGUAGAAAUACGUAAGUCCUACGGGACGAGGAGACAGGUGGUGCAUGGCC
This 540-nucleotide ribosomal RNA is filed under the name uncultured archaeon. Its description in RNAcentral is "bacterial SSU rRNA". It matches the Rfam family "Bacterial small subunit ribosomal RNA", at positions 509 to 1050 of the family's 1533-position model. The record is from RNAcentral.